CGGGGUGAGUAACGCGUGGGUAACCUGCCCUGUACAGGGGGACAACAGUUGGAAACGACUGCUAAUACCGCAUAAGCGCACAGCUUCGCAUGAAGCAGUGUGAAAAACUCCGGUGGUACAGGAUGGACCCGCGUCUGAUUAGAUAGUUGGUGAGGUAACGGCCCACCAAGUCAACGAUCAGUAGCCGGCCUGAGAGGGCGAACGGUCACAUUGGGACUGAGACACGGCCCAA
RNAcentral lists this ribosomal RNA (232 nucleotides) under uncultured bacterium. Its description in RNAcentral is "partial 16S ribosomal RNA". It matches the Rfam family "Bacterial small subunit ribosomal RNA", at positions 104 to 334 of the family's 1533-position model. The record is from RNAcentral.